Molecule: small RNA, 250 nt
Filed under: Xanthomonas campestris pv. campestris
Lineage: Bacteria; Pseudomonadati; Pseudomonadota; Gammaproteobacteria; Lysobacterales; Lysobacteraceae
Description: ncRNA of unknown function
Source: RNAcentral
GGGCUAAUUGUAGCCGGGCGCUGCUGAAGGCUGCGUGGGCUGGGUGCGGGGCGAUUGCCAUGAUCGCGAAGGCCUUGCAUGUGGGGGUGGCGGGCGGCUGGCAGGGGCGGCUGGCGGAUGAGUGGCGGGUUGUCAGAUAGCAAGGGCAGAGGAUGGCGCCGCGUAAUGGCAGUGCCUUUGCGAGCGCGUGCAGUGAACGCGCAGCGUCUUGUUGAGUUGUCUGGCAGGCCGGGCAGGGCAUGACCCAUCA